AUUCUACUCCCUCCGUUGCACAAUACAUGCCUUCUAUUUGUCAAAAUAUAUAUGUGUAUCUAGACAUGUUUUAGUAUAUAGGCACAUCCAUUUUUGGACAAAUGGAAGUCAAGUAUUUUGGAACGGAGGGAGUACAUA
Non-coding RNA from Triticum aestivum (bread wheat), 138 nucleotides. The record is from Rfam. NCBI's taxonomy places the organism in Eukaryota, Viridiplantae, Streptophyta, Magnoliopsida, Poales, Poaceae.